CGCAACCACGGCUACAAUCUAAUCCGCUCCCGCCCAACGCCUCCUUCACCCUCUUCGCUCCCACCGACGCCUCCCUCUUCGCAUUCGACAUGAUCCAAACGGCUUCGUCCCUCUCUGAUUCUCUGUCUCCGACCUCCGAUCUAUCUCAUCUGGCUCCAUACUCCAUCCAAAACCAGAGGCAUCGUCAGGCCAGUGCUCCCGUCGCAAGCGGCGGCGCCGAUGAGAUCGCGCUCUUGAAGACUGCGUCUAACCGCACAGAUCUCUCUCUGGUGGCCACACCACCGUCUGAAACCGAGUCGAGCAUGACAAUUCCUUCUAACCGGACGGCCAGCGCUGAUCGUUCUCCGGC
This 349-nucleotide long non-coding RNA is filed under the name Rosa chinensis. RNAcentral describes it as "sRNA RchiOBHm_Chr2g0125811". Lineage: Eukaryota; Viridiplantae; Streptophyta; Magnoliopsida; Rosales; Rosaceae. The record is from RNAcentral.